Molecule: ribosomal RNA, 232 nt
Filed under: uncultured bacterium
Lineage: Bacteria
Description: partial 16S ribosomal RNA
Rfam family: Bacterial small subunit ribosomal RNA
Source: RNAcentral
CCGGAUUUAUUGGGCGUAAAGCGCUCGCAGGUGGUUCGUUGCGUCGUGCGUGAAAGACCCCGGCUCAACUGGGGGAUGUCGUGCGAUACGGGCGGACUGGAGGCCAGUAGGGGGAUGCGGAAUUCCGGGUGUAGUGGUGGAAUGCGUAGAGAUCCGGAGGAACACCAGCGGCGAAGGCGGCAUCCUGGACUGGUCCUGACACUCAGGAGCGAAAGCGUGGGGAGCGAUCCGG